RNAcentral lists this ribosomal RNA (210 nucleotides) under uncultured bacterium. Its description in RNAcentral is "partial 16S ribosomal RNA". It matches the Rfam family "Bacterial small subunit ribosomal RNA", at positions 1289 to 1500 of the family's 1533-position model. The record is from RNAcentral.
CAGUUCGGAUUGCAGGCUGCAACUGCCUGCAUGAAGCUGGAAUUGCUAGUAAUCGCGGAUCAGCAUGCCGCGGUGAAUACGUUCCCGGGCCUUGUACACACCGCCCGUCACACCAUGAGAGUCGGGAACACCCGAAGUCCGUAGUCUAACCGCAAGGAGGGCGCGGCCGAAGGUGGGUCCGGUAAUUGGGUGAAGUCGUAACAAGGUAGC